AAAUACAAGUAUGGUAUAAUCACAAAGUGCUUGGUGACUCUCCCAAAACAAACCCAAUGAAAGAGGGGAAAGGAGGAUGCCAAGAUAUGAUCCCAAUGCUAAUGCUUAUGAUAGAAUUUCAUGAGGGAUCUUAGGGUCAAAAUUGGGGUCUUACACCUGCGCCCAAAACUGUGAAGCAAGUCAGAGGUUUUCACGGCCGCUUGAAAUAU
RNAcentral lists this long non-coding RNA (209 nucleotides) under Lathyrus oleraceus (garden pea). RNAcentral describes it as "Pisum sativum (pea) long non-coding RNA (PSAT_LNC006503)". The record is from RNAcentral. Lineage: Eukaryota; Viridiplantae; Streptophyta; Magnoliopsida; Fabales; Fabaceae.